Molecule: ribosomal RNA, 516 nt
Filed under: Mesembrinella bellardiana
Lineage: Eukaryota; Metazoa; Arthropoda; Insecta; Diptera; Calliphoridae
Description: partial small subunit ribosomal RNA
Rfam family: Bacterial large subunit ribosomal RNA
Source: RNAcentral
AAAUGGCCGCAGUAUAUUAACUGUGCAAAGGUAGCAUAAUCAUUAGUCUUUUAAUUGGAGGCUGGUAUGAAUGGUUGGACGAAAUAUUAACUGUUUCAUAUAAAUUUAUAUUAAAAUUUUAUUUUUUAGUAAAAAAGCUAAAAUUUAAUUAAAAGACGAGAAGACCCUAUAAAUCUUUAUAUUUAUAUUAAUAUAGUUUUUAGGAUUAUUUUUAUUAUAAUAAUUAAUAAUAUUUUAUUGGGGUGAUAUUAAAAUUUAAAUAACUUUUAAUUGUAAAAUUCAUUAAUUUAUGAGUUAUUGAUCCGUGAUUAACGAUUAGGAAUUUAAGUUACUUUAGGGAUAACAGCGUAAUUUUUUUGGAGAGUUCAUAUUAAUAAAAAAGAUUGCGACCUCGAUGUUGGAUUAAGAGAUAAUUUUAGGUGUAGUCGCUUAAAUUUUAAGUCUGUUCGACUUUUAAAUUCUUACAUGAUCUGAGUUUAAACCGGUGUAAGCCAGGUUGGUUUCUAUCUUUAGUAA